RNAcentral lists this ribosomal RNA (439 nucleotides) under Polybia striata. RNAcentral describes it as "partial 16S ribosomal RNA". The record is from RNAcentral. Lineage: Eukaryota; Metazoa; Arthropoda; Insecta; Hymenoptera; Vespidae.
GUCUUAUUGAAUAAUAUAUAAUAAGUCAAUUUCUGCCCAUUGAAAUUAAUUUUAAAAGGCUGCGGUAUAUUAACUGUACAAAGGUAGCAAAAUAAAUAGUUUUUUAAUUGAAAACUUGAAUGAAAGAGUUGAUAAAAUAUAAAUUGUUUCAAAUUAAUUAAAUUUAAUUUAAAUUAAAAGUUAAAAUGCUUUUAUUAUUUUAUUAGACGAUAAGACCCUAAGAAUUUAAUUAUUUAAAUUUUAAUAUAAUUUUUAUGAAAAAUUUAUUAAAUAUAAAUUUAAUUUUGUUGGGAGGAUAAUAAAAUUUUUAUAAACUUUUAUUUAUAAAAAAUAUUUAUAAAUAAAAUUUUAAUGAUUAUUAUUAAGAUUAUUAGAAAAAAUUACCUUAGGGAUAACAGCGUAAUAAUUUUGGAGAGUUCAUAUUGAUAAAAUUGUUUGC